RNAcentral lists this long non-coding RNA (633 nucleotides) under Chinchilla lanigera (long-tailed chinchilla). RNAcentral describes it as "lncRNA (ENSCLAG00000022356.1)". The record is from RNAcentral. Lineage: Eukaryota; Metazoa; Chordata; Mammalia; Rodentia; Chinchillidae.
AAUUUAAAAUAUGAAAAAUUCAAAUGAAUUUAAAUAUUUCAGUUAUACAUGUACGUAUUUAUUCUGUAGGAACUGCAAGACAACUCACUGGAAGAAAAUCUACGUUUAGCUCAAGAGUAUCAAAAGUUGCAGAUGAUUUUCUUAACAGAAAAGGAUAAUUUCUGCAAAAUGUAUGGCAAACAGCUAUCACUUCAUGCUGCAGUUAGUGAUAAGAGACAGUUCUGUCAGCUGCAAAGAAAUCUACAGGAGCAGUGGCAGGAGCACUUCCGGCUGGUGGUCCUCUUCAGCCAGAUGAAGCUGGCCAAGUUCCAGACAGACUCUCAGGAGACUAUUCAGAAAAUAUUAGCUGUGCAGACAACUAUCAAGAUGUGUAACCUCCCAGCAAUCAAGAAAUAUGAGCGGCCUCCUCCUGUGGAGAUGUACUUUAAUGAUUCAUCAGUGCUGUACUAUAACUCAUUCAUAACAUCCCAAAGCAUUAAGAGCUCCAUCUUCAUUAUUACCAGAUGUCUUACAGGUGCCUAAGUCAACACAUCAAAAUGACUUCCUGCAAGUUUGCAAGACCAAGUGUAACUUCAAGGACACCCACAAAUACAUUUGCUCUAAGAAGUCUGCUGUAAGCUGGUUAGCAAUCCU